AACUCGACUCACUACAUAUAAAUAUCAUUUAAACUCUUAUAUAUAAAAACCCAACAUAAAACCCUUACUCUUUAAACUCUUAUAUAUGAAGACCCAACACAAAACCCUAGCAGUCAUCUAAGCUUCCCUAUUUAGCUGCUCCAAGCCUCCCACUCGAUUGAGACUCUUGAGGAUGGAAAAAUGCGAAGAAAAGUCCAAGCCUCUCC
Molecule: long non-coding RNA, 206 nt
Filed under: Elaeis guineensis (African oil palm)
Lineage: Eukaryota; Viridiplantae; Streptophyta; Magnoliopsida; Arecales; Arecaceae
Description: long non-coding RNA (EGUI_LNC042346)
Source: RNAcentral